CCUACGGGUGGCAGCAGUGAGGAAUAUUGGUCAAUGGGCGCAAGCCUGAACCAGCCAAGUAGCGUGAAGGAUGACUGCCCUAUGGGUUGUAAACUUCUUUUAUCAGGGAAUAAAGUGAGGCACGUGUGGCUUUUUGUAGGUACCUUAUGAAUAAGGACCGGCUAAUUCCGUGCCCGCAGCCGCGGUAAUACGGAGGGUCCGGGCGUUAUCCGGAUUUAUUGGGUUUAAAGGGAGCGUAGGUCGGUCUUUAAGUUAGUUGUGAAAGGCGGCGGCUCAACCGUAGAACUGCAGUGGAUACUGGCAGGCUUGAGUGCAGUGGAGGUAGGCGGAAUUCGUGGUGUAGCGGUGAAAUGCUUAGAUAUCACGAAGAACUCCGAUUGCGAAGGCAGCUUAC
RNAcentral lists this ribosomal RNA (394 nucleotides) under uncultured bacterium. RNAcentral describes it as "partial 16S ribosomal RNA". It matches the Rfam family "Bacterial small subunit ribosomal RNA", at positions 338 to 729 of the family's 1533-position model. The record is from RNAcentral.